AUCAGAGAGUAAAAGAUGUUUGCAGAAAAUAUUAGGAAGCAGAGAGUGGAGAAAAACAAAAAGAAAAGUGAAUUUGUUUUAGGGACAGAGAAAGUGGUGGAAACAAAUCCUUUCACUAAAGUUGUGGUGAUGACGGCAAAGUGAUGAUCAGAGCGACAAGACAGACUCCUUAAACGACGAGCCUUUACCUAGAUAGUAGAUAUUUAAUAUUCAUAUCUAGCUUAGCAAUGAAACGGAGAGCUCAACAGGUACGGUAGGCGAUAAUUAAGAAUUUAUAAACAAGCAGAGACAUUUGGCAAAAAUCCCACCCGAGGUGUCCCUUGCAACA
Molecule: unclassified non-coding RNA, 328 nt
Filed under: Hevea brasiliensis (rubber tree)
Lineage: Eukaryota; Viridiplantae; Streptophyta; Magnoliopsida; Malpighiales; Euphorbiaceae
Source: RNAcentral